This 832-nucleotide ribosomal RNA is filed under the name uncultured Lactobacillus sp. RNAcentral's name for it is "bacterial SSU rRNA". It matches the Rfam family "Bacterial small subunit ribosomal RNA", at positions 669 to 1502 of the family's 1533-position model. Lineage: Bacteria; Bacillati; Bacillota; Bacilli; Lactobacillales; Lactobacillaceae. The record is from RNAcentral.
CCAUGUGUAGCGGUGAAAUGCGUAGAUAUAUGGAAGAACACCAGUGGCGAAGGCGGCUGUCUGGUCUGUAACUGACGCUGAGGCUCGAAAGUAUGGGUAGCAAACAGGAUUAGAUACCCUGGUAGUCCAUACCGUAAACGAUGAAUGCUAAGUGUUGGAGGGUUUCCCCCUUCAGUGCUGCAGCUAACGCAUUAAGCAUUCCGCCUGGGGAGUACGGCCGCAAGGCUGAAACUCAAAGGAAUUGACGGGGGCCCGCACAAGCGGUGGAGCAUGUGGUUUAAUUCGAAGCUACGCGAAGAACCUUACCAGGUCUUGACAUACUAUGCAAAUCUAAGAGAUUAGACGUUCCCUUCGGGGACAUGGAUACAGGUGGUGCAUGGUUGUCGUCAGCUCGUGUCGUGAGAUGUUGGGUUAAGUCCCGCAACGAGCGCAACCCUUAUUAUCAGUUGCCAGCAUUAAGUUGGGCACUCUGGUGAGACUGCCGGUGACAAACCGGAGGAAGGUGGGGAUGACGUCAAAUCAUCAUGCCCCUUAUGACCUGGGCUACACACGUGCUACAAUGAAUGGUACAACGAGUUGCGAACUCGCGAGAGUAAGCUAAUCUCUUAAAGCCAUUCUCAGUUCGGAUUGUAGGCUGCAACUCGCCUACAUGAAGUCGGAAUCGCUAGUAAUCGCGGAUCAGCAUGCCGCGGUGAAUACGUUCCCGGGCCUUGUACACACCGCCCGUCACACCAUGAGAGUUUGUAACACCCAAAGUCGGUGGGGUAACCUUUAGGAACCAGCCGCCUAAGGUGGGACAGAUGAUUAGGGUGAAGUCGUAACAAGGUAACCA